AGACAUUAAUCUUAAGUAUCCAGGGAGCCCUAAAACAUUGUAUCCCACUAGCAAGGACCAUGGUAAUUGCCACGUAAAUCCCCUCCAUUAUGUGGCCCUUAUUAUGACCAGCCAGCCAAGGCUUGCCUUUAAAUCAUACCAAUUGAACCGAGCCUUGUAGAAACACUAUCACCUACGCAUACCUCUGCUUCUUUUCAUUAACCUGCUAUCCUCUUUACAAAUGGGAUUCUUCACCCACUCCCUUCUUCUAGAUUAGCAAUGCCCUGUUAAGUAAACGAACACGAAAUUCAAAGGGAAACAGGAGCAAUCAUCAUUACCAGCUGCCGUGUUAAGCAUUGCGAAAACGCUCACGAUUCACAGAAAAAUCCAUGCUGUUCUUUGAAGGCAUUCAAGCCUUAAUAGCUAGCUGGAUGAAUGUUUAACUUCUAGGCCAGGCACUACUCUGUCCCAACAAUAAGCCCUGUACAUUGGGAAAGGUGCCGAGACAUGAACUUUGGUCUUCUCUGCAAUCCAUCUGGAGCAUUCACUGACAACAUCGACUUUGAAGUUGCACUGACCUGGCCAGCCCUGCCACUUACCAGGUUGGCUCUGUAUGGCUAAGCGUUUUCUCCUAAAAUCCCUUGAAAACUGUGAGAAGACCAUAAGAAGAUCAUAUCUUUAAUUCUAUUUCACAAGUCACACAAUAUUCCAAUCAAAUACAGAUGGUUGAGAAAAGUCAUCCAUCUUCCCUCCCCACCCUCCCACAGCCCCUCAACCACUGCCCUGAAACUUAUAUGCUGUUAUCCGCAGCUCCAUCUGGAGCAUCACAGCUACUGUCAACCCUGACGCUCUUUCUGAAAAAACACCGGAUGGACAUCAGAACUAUUUCUUUAAGGAUGUUACUGAGCCACACAGGAAAACUUGCCUUAUGAUUUUGAAUGCACGGAUCUGAUUUGACUAAACAUGAUAACUAGAGAAUCACCCAAUCUACUCCCAUUUUCAACUCUAAAUCAUCAGAGUGUCUCAAAUCCAAAGCACACACAGACCAGCCUGGCCAACACGGUGAAACUCCACCCCUACUAAAAGUAUAAAAAUUAUCCAGGUGUGGUGGCGGGCGCCUGUAAUCCAAGCUACUUGGGAGUCUGGAGGCAGGAGAAUCCCUUGAACCUGGGAGAUGGAGGUUGCAGUGAGCAGAGAUCACACCACCGCACUCUAGCCUGGGCCACAAAUCAACAACAACAACAACAACAAAAAACAAAGCGCACACAGAGACUGAGGUCCUCUUUGGCAUUGAGAAGAUGGCUAUGCAAGUCCCAACUAGCAAGUGCAAACUUCCCAGCUUCACUUCUGCCAGUGUCCCUUCACCCCUUCUCAACCCCACUGGGAGGCAGGAGGGUGCUUGACAAUAACAGCCUUGGCAUCACUCUGCCAGGGUGUAAUAGGAACUGUUACAAUUCUGAGAUUCUGUAAGUGCUUUGAGAUUUUGGAGUCAGACUGCUUGAACUUGAAUCCUGGCCCUCUCAUCAGAGACUUGACUUAUUUUAGGCAAGUUAUAUAACCAAUUUUACCUCAGUUCCUUACCCAUAAAAUGGGUCUAAUGAGAGUACCUACCACACAGAAUUUUGAUGAAAACUGAAUGAGAUGAAGGCCUUUAAGGCAGUGGUCCCCAACCCUGGGGACACAGACAGGUACCAUUUUGUGGCCUGUUAGGAACUGGGCCACACAGCAGGAGGUGAGCAGUGGGUGAGUGAGAUCAGCGUUAUUUACAGCUGCUCCCCAUUGCUCACCUUACUGCCUGAGCUCCACCUCCUGUCAGAUCAGCAGUGGCAUUAAAUUCUCAUAGCAGCACAAACCCUGUCAUGAACUGCACAUGCGAGGGAUCUAGGUUGUGCGCUCCUUAUGAGAAUCUAAUGCCUAAUGACCUGUCACCGUCUCCCAUCACCCCUAGAUGGGAGUGUCUAGUUGCAGGAAACAAGCUCAGGGCUUCCACUGAUUCUACAUUAUGGCACUCAGGAAAUAUUAGUUGCAUGAACGAAGGCUGCAUUUUCAUUAGAACAACAUGCAGUUCAACCCCUUCAUGUUUCAAUGAGGGUUCAGAUACCCAGAGGGCUAUGCUAUCAUCCUGGAGCCCACUCUGCUAACAAUUAGCAGAACGGAAGCCUUAAUUUCCAGAUUCUAGUGAACUUGAUGAGUCAAGACUAUUGCAAUUGGAAAUCUGUUCUCCUCUGCUGCUGCAUUCCCUGCUUAAUACUCAAGCCAGAAACCAGGAAGGCUGUGGCUUGCCUUUUCACUUCUUGUGUCCUGUUUAAGAAAUAUCUGCUAUCCCAAGCAUCUGGCAUCUUUCUUGACAUAUGUAGCAGUUGCUUUUUGACAGCUUGCUUCUUCAGUGAAUGAAUAAAUUAAUAAAGAGAAAUGUGAUGUUCAGUGAUCCAUUUUGCAGGAUAAACCAGUAUUCUGGACUAAGCCAACGUGGGAGACCCUAGGAGGCCUGUUUGAGAAAGUGACAUUUAAAUUGAGACUUGGCGGUGGCUGUGGCUACAUAUCUAAUUGCAAACUCCUAGAGAAGGGCUCAACAGUGAGUGCUGAGGCUGCACAGAGGAGGAAGGCAGCACAAUGAUGGAAGGCUUCCUAAAGAGAUAACACUAACAAAGUUGACCUUAGAAUUGGAGUGCCUGGGUUAGAACCCUGCUGGUACCACCUGCUUACUGCAUGCUUCUGAUGUGAGUUCAGGAGAAGACACUGGCAAGGACAGCAAAGAACAGGAGAACACUCUAGCUUCCCUGAUAGCAUUCAAGGUGCUGUCCAAACUGACUGUGAUGGCACCCUCCAGACAGACAGCGAUGCCACAUGUUCAAGAUGGCAGAAUCACUAUCAGCUUCAAUUCCUGAAUGACUGCAGAGCAAAAUUUCUUACCUGCAACAUACACUCUAUUUUCAGCCUCCCUGGACUGUUACAUAAUGAUACAUAAAAAUAUUUCUUGUGUUGAGGCAUCCCAAAUUUGAUUUAUUUGUCAUCACAGUCUAUCCUAUGAAUAUAUUUCUGAUCCAAAUAAUGCUAGAUUCAUGAGAGUUUAUAGUCCAGAGAUUUUUUUUUUUUUUUUGAGACAGAAUCUGUCUCCCAGGCUGGGGUGCAGUGGCAUAAUCUUAGCUCACUGCAACCUCUGCCUCCCGGGCUCAAGUGAUCCUCCCUCCUUAGCCUCCAUGAGUAGCUGGGACCACAGGUGUGCACCACCACACCCCGCUAAUUAUUUUGUAUUUUUUGCAGAGGGGGGUUUCACCACAUUGCCCAAGCUGGUCUCAAACUCCUAGACUUAAGGGAUCUGCCUGCCUUGGCCUCCCAAAAUGCUGAAAUUACACUUGUUAGCCAUAGUAAUAGUUCCUAGCCAUAGUCCGGAGAUAUUUUAAAAACUUUAGUGUGAGUUAUUUCUCUUUGCUAUAAUUCUCUCAUGCAUUUUGAAAACCUUUUCUGCCAUACAGUGGUUUUUGGGAAGUCCUUUUGGACAGACAUAUCACAGGAUGGAGAAACUAAAAAGAGAGAAUGCAUUAAAGAAAAAAUAGUACUUCGUAUUUCAGAAAUUACAAAAGGGUGUCAUGCCCCACAGCAUGGUGGGCAGUCAUUUGUAACCCACAGAACAUUGAGUUUCUAAAAUUUGAGUGUUUUUAACUUACGAAGGCCAACUUUACUGAUGAAGUGAUUACCCCAAAUAUGUGAAAUCCAUAUUUCAAGUACAAUAGUAGGAAAUUGGAAAUGGGCUCUUGAGUUUCUGCUUUCAAGUGACCCUCAGAAAUUCCUCCAUUCACUGCAGAGGUUCUGUUUCUCCUUGCUUUGUUCUGACUUUACGGCAGAACUAAGCUAAUGAGUUAGUUACUAUGGGUUAUCACUUGGAUUUGAAGAACCAUCAUUUCUAGGCAUUGCUGCUCAGAGUGGGUCUGCCCUCAGGGGAAGCUGUCUAACCAGAGCCUAACCCACUAGGGUUUUAUCAGAACCUAACUGACCUGAGGAAAAGAAAUACUCAACUCCAGCAAGCUCCAGCCUUCCAAAUGGAGGAGGAGAAAACCCAACUCCAGCCCACUUCAGCUAUCUUGUCCCACAUAAAGGGGAAGUGGAAGAAACCUGAGAAGCAGGCAUGAAGUUCACAGUCCAGAGACCUUGCCAUCGUAUCCCCUUUUGGAGACACAAGCCAGGAAGGAAGCUCUUCAGUGCAGCUGUGAAUAGAGAAAUGCUGGCUGAGGUUUUGGAGACACUGGGUGAUCAUUCCCAGUGAAAUUUUUAGAUCCCUGGGGACAUGAGCUGCUUUGUCUUUUCCAAGGACAGCAGACAGAGCAUGAAUGAGACCCCCAAAGAAGGGAAGCAAAUGAGACAAGCCCCACAAUUAUUCUGGCUUUUUGCCUAGAGACAAUCUAUGAACUGUGGGGCAAACAACAGAGAUCAAAACAGCUUGGCAAUCUGAGUUGAGGAUGAAGACACCAUUGGGGCAGAAGCAGCGAUAGCUCAAAUUUGUGGAGCAAAGUACCGGAGAAGAUAAACUGCUCCAAAUUCCAAGAGGCUGGGCAAAGAAAAACUUUGUGGAAAGAAGAAUUAUCAGGGAACUCUAAGCUGAAAAAUUGCCAGGGCUCACACAGACCUGGGGAAUUGGUUGAGUUUAUGCCACCUACAGGAUAGAGAACUUGCUGAAUGUUCAAGGAUUUUGUUACAGAUGCAAGAUGACACUUAAAGGGAUGCAAAACUAACAUCUCUGGAUUAGUCUUAAUAAAGUUUAAAAAUAAGCUUAGAAAAAGUCAAA
Molecule: long non-coding RNA, 4762 nt
Filed under: Homo sapiens (human)
Lineage: Eukaryota; Metazoa; Chordata; Mammalia; Primates; Hominidae
Description: PREDICTED lncRNA (TCONS_00257657)
Source: RNAcentral